This 107-nucleotide small nuclear RNA is filed under the name Carlito syrichta (Philippine tarsier). Lineage: Eukaryota; Metazoa; Chordata; Mammalia; Primates; Tarsiidae. The record is from RNAcentral.
GUGCUUGUUUCAGCAGCACAUAUACUAAAAUUGGAAUGAUACAGAGAAGAUUAGUAUGGCCCCUGAGCAAGGAUGACACACAAAUACUUGUAAUUAUUUACUUAUAU